AUCGCUUCUCAGCCUUUCUGGCUGACAGCCAGUGUAGUGUCUGCUCCUGUCAAUUUAAUAUAUGGCACACCCUCUAUCUGAGGCUGUGAUGGGAGGUGGGGUUUUGGUGCAAGGGGACAGAGCACGGAGCUUGCUCGUUUUCCAUUCUAUACAGUCAUCUGGUGUUGCCCCUGGGGGUAACUAUC
Small nuclear RNA from Cynocephalus volans (Philippine flying lemur), 185 nucleotides. RefSeq annotates it as U2 spliceosomal RNA. NCBI's taxonomy places the organism in Eukaryota, Metazoa, Chordata, Mammalia, Dermoptera, Cynocephalidae. The record is from RefSeq and is a predicted model, not a curated record. The transcript has a single exon.